UACAGAGGGUGCGAGCGUUAAUCGGAAUUACUGGGCGUAAAGCGUGCGUAGACGGUUAUUUAAGUCGGGUGUGAAAGCCCCGGGCUCAACCUGGGAAUUGCAUUCGAGACUGAAUAGCUAGGGUACGGUAGAGGGAAGCGGAAUUUCCGGUGUAGCGGUGAAAUGCGUAGAUAUCGGAAGGAACAUCAGUGGCGAAGGCGGCCCUCUGGUCCAGUACUGACACUCAAGUGCGAAAGCGUGGGGAGCAAACAGG
This 253-nucleotide ribosomal RNA is filed under the name uncultured bacterium. Its description in RNAcentral is "partial 16S ribosomal RNA". It matches the Rfam family "Bacterial small subunit ribosomal RNA", at positions 524 to 776 of the family's 1533-position model. The record is from RNAcentral.